AGAGUUUGAUCCUGGGCUCAGGAUGAACGCUAGCGGCGGGCUUAAUACAUGCAAGUCGAACGGUAACAGGUCUUCGGACGCUGACGAGUGGCGCACGGGUGCGUAACACGUACACAACCUACCCUAAAGAGGGGGAUAGCUCUUGGAAACGAGGAAUAAUACCCCAUAGUACUUGUUGGUCGCAUGGUUGACAAGUUAAAGGUUUACUGCUUUAGGAUGGGUGUGCGGGCCAUUAGGUAGUUGGAGAGGUAACGGCUCACCAAGCCUACGAUGGUUAGCUGGUCUGAGAGGAUGAUCAGCCACACGGGCACUGAGACACGGGCCCGACUCCUACGGGAGGCAGCAGUAAGGAAUAUUGGACAAUGGGCGAAAGCCUGAUACAGCCACGCCGCGUGCAGGAUGAAGGUCCUCUGGAUUGUAAACUGCUUUUGACAGAGACGAACGGUCGGGAUUUAUCUUGAAUUGACGGUAUCUGUCGAAUAAGCACCGGCUAACUACGUG
This 501-nucleotide ribosomal RNA is filed under the name uncultured bacterium. RNAcentral's name for it is "bacterial SSU rRNA". It matches the Rfam family "Bacterial small subunit ribosomal RNA", at positions 8 to 507 of the family's 1533-position model. The record is from RNAcentral.